This 253-nucleotide ribosomal RNA is filed under the name uncultured bacterium. RNAcentral describes it as "partial 16S ribosomal RNA". It matches the Rfam family "Bacterial small subunit ribosomal RNA", at positions 524 to 776 of the family's 1533-position model. The record is from RNAcentral.
UACGUAGGGUGCAAGCGUUGUCCGGAAUUAUUGGGCGUAAAGGGCUCGUAGGCGGUCCAUCGCGUCGGGAGUGAAAAGCUGGGGCUUAACCCCAGUCCUGCUUCCGAUACGGGCAGACUAGAGGUAUGCAGGGGAGAACGGAAUUCCUGGUGUAGCGGUGGAAUGCGCAGAUAUCAGGAGGAACACCGGUGGCGAAGGCGGUUCUCUGGGCAUUACCUGACGCUGAGGAGCGAAAGCAUGGGGAGCGAACAGG